Molecule: ribosomal RNA, 495 nt
Filed under: uncultured bacterium
Lineage: Bacteria
Description: partial 16S ribosomal RNA
Rfam family: Bacterial small subunit ribosomal RNA
Source: RNAcentral
GAUGAACGCUGGCGGCGUGCCUAAUACAUGCAAGUAGAACGCUGAAGGAGGAGCUUGCUCUUCUGGAUGAGUUGCGAACGGGUGAGUAACGCGUAGGUAACCUGCCUUGUAGCGGGGGAUAACUAUUGGAAACGAUAGCUAAUACCGCAUGACAACAGUUAUUGCAUGAUAACUGUUUAAAAGGGGCAACUGCUCCACUACCAGAUGGACCUGCGUUGUAUUAGCUAGUUGGUGAGGUAACGGCUCACCAAGGCGAGGAUACAUAGCCGACCGGAGACGGUGAUAGGCCACACUGGGAGUGAGACACGCCCCAGAGUCCUACGGGAGGCAGCAGUAGUGCAUCUUCGGGAAUGGGUGGAAGUCUGAGCGAGAAAGGCCGCGUGAGUGAAGAACGUUUUCGGAUCGUAAAGCUCUGUUGUCAGAGAAGAACGCGUGUGAGAGUGGAACGUUGACACUGUGACGGUAGCUUACCAGAAAGCGCCGGCUAACUACGUG